UGUAGUCACUUAAUAUCAAACUCUUUUAUUUCAGAUUAUCCUUCAACAUUACAACAGAGAGCAUGACGAGUAUAAGCCAGAAAUCCUGGAAUUCAUAGUCUUCGAUAAUUUACAGAAUCUGACUGCAUUUUUAUCCUAUUUGAAGAAUCGCUUGACUUCGUUUUAUCUGUUAGUCAUUGUCCUUGAAGGGUCAACAGAACUGGUCUGGUUUUUACGUUGGCGUUGUUUUGAUAACAUUCCAUCGAUAUACAGAUAUUCCUUUCACUUUAUGCCCAGAAUUGUUACGGAUAGCGUCGUUUUUGCCGGUCGUGUCGUGAAUGUGGAUGUUAAAUUACUGUUAUAAAAGUGACAAUUAGAAGACACGGGACCAAGUUUCCUAAACUCUUUAUCAUUAGUAGCGACAUUCGGCAUAAAAUGCUUAGCGGUUAGUUUGUGUUCGGUGAAGUGUUUUUGAUACUUGCCUAAUUAAUUUUUGAUAAAUUGUACUGCUUUCGUCGUUUAAUCGGUUGAUGUGCUAGGUACAAGGACUUAUGAAUAUAUGGAAUCAUCGAACGAGUGCCAUUGAAGAUUGCAUGAGAUAUUCAUUCAUGGUUCUCAGUGCCUCUCGUUCAUCAUUAAUUGGUUAUAUGGAAACAGGCGUCCUGUACGAUCCAGUCAUAUGAAGCUGUUUACCUCUGAAGG
Long non-coding RNA from Agrilus planipennis (emerald ash borer), 681 nucleotides. RefSeq lists it as uncharacterized. The transcript has 4 exons. NCBI's taxonomy places the organism in Eukaryota, Metazoa, Arthropoda, Insecta, Coleoptera, Buprestidae. The record is from RefSeq and is a predicted model, not a curated record.